GGACGUAGCUCAAGCAGUAGCGCGCUCGCCUGGCAUGUGUGUGGCCUGGGUUCGAUCCUCAGCACCA
Molecule: transfer RNA, 67 nt
Filed under: Marmota monax (woodchuck)
Lineage: Eukaryota; Metazoa; Chordata; Mammalia; Rodentia; Sciuridae
Description: tRNA.Ala
Source: RNAcentral